This 462-nucleotide ribosomal RNA is filed under the name Triticum aestivum (bread wheat). RNAcentral's name for it is "partial small subunit ribosomal RNA". The record is from RNAcentral. Lineage: Eukaryota; Viridiplantae; Streptophyta; Magnoliopsida; Poales; Poaceae.
GUGUCACUUUUGCUCGUACUACCAUUGGCAGGUCAUGCCAUAGGACCGUUGGACGCACCGGCUGGUUGGGAGCGAGCCCUUACACAACGUUUUCAUGGUGUUUUUCCGGAUGCUCCGGAUCCGGUAUGGGAGCAUCACGGACCUAAGUAUGAGUGGUUGCUCAAUUUCCGGAUCCAAAACUUCCGGGCGCCGUUGACUGCGGAACAGAUCACUCGGAGCCUGGAGGCCUACUUAAUGUGGCUUUUCGGCAAGGUGAUGUUCACAGAGAACCAUGUCACCACUAUUAGCGCGCUCUACAUACCUAUGGCACUCGAGAUAGUGAGCGCUCAGACGGCGGAUCAGAUCAGACAGAGGAGUUGGGGUUCGGCGGUCUUAGCGGCUACAUACCGAGGUAUGUGCAACGGUUGCCAGCUUACAUCGAGAAAGCCAGCCCUUCUUGGAUGCCCUCUAUUCCUACAACUA